UACGUAGGGUGCGAGCGUUAAUCGGAAUUACUGGGCGUAAAGCGUGCGCAGGCGGUGAUGUAAGACAGAUGUGAAAUCCCCGGGCUCAACCUGGGAACUGCAUUUGUGACUGCACGGCUAGAGUGCGGCAGAGGGGGAUGGAAUUCCGCGUGUAGCAGUGAAAUGCGUAGAUAUGCGGAGGAACACCGAUGGCGAAGGCAAUCCCCUGGGCCUGCACUGACGCUCAUGCACGAAAGCGUGGGGAGCAAACAGG
Molecule: ribosomal RNA, 253 nt
Filed under: uncultured bacterium
Lineage: Bacteria
Description: partial 16S ribosomal RNA
Rfam family: Bacterial small subunit ribosomal RNA
Source: RNAcentral